UAGUGAUCCUGGCUCAGGAUGAACGCUAGCGGCAGGCUUAACACAUGCAAGUCGAGGGGUAUAGUUCUUCGGAAUUAGAGACCGGCGCACGGGUGCGUAACGCGUAUGCAAUCUACCUUUUACAGAGGGAUAGCCCAGAGAAAUUUGGAUUAAUACCUCAUAGUAUAAUGACUUGGCAUCAAGACAUUAUUAAAGUCACAACGGUAAAAGAUGAGCAUGCGUCCCAUUAGCUAGUUGGUAAGGUAACGGCUUACCAAGGCUACGAUGGGUAGGGGUCCUGAGAGGGAGAUCCCCCACACUGGUACUGAGACACGGACCAGACUCCUACGGGAGGCAGCAGUGAGGAAUAUUGGACAAUGGGCGCAAGCCUGAUCCAGCCAUGCCGCGUGCAGGAUGACGGUCCUAUGGAUUGUAAACUGCUUUUAUACGAGAAGAAACACUACUUCGUGAAGUAGCUUGACGGUAUCGUAAGAA
This 474-nucleotide ribosomal RNA is filed under the name Flavobacterium sp. WB4.3-18. RNAcentral's name for it is "bacterial SSU rRNA". It matches the Rfam family "Bacterial small subunit ribosomal RNA", at positions 13 to 486 of the family's 1533-position model. The record is from RNAcentral. Lineage: Bacteria; Pseudomonadati; Bacteroidota; Flavobacteriia; Flavobacteriales; Flavobacteriaceae.